RNAcentral lists this ribosomal RNA (482 nucleotides) under Streptococcus sp. oral taxon 066. RNAcentral's name for it is "bacterial SSU rRNA". It matches the Rfam family "Bacterial small subunit ribosomal RNA", at positions 28 to 493 of the family's 1533-position model. The record is from RNAcentral. Lineage: Bacteria; Bacillati; Bacillota; Bacilli; Lactobacillales; Streptococcaceae.
GAUGAACGCUGGUGGCGUGCCUAAUACAUGCAAGUAGAACGCUGAAGCUUGGUGCUUGCACCGAGCGGAUGAGUUGCGAACGGGUGAGUAACGCGUAGGUAACCUGCCUGGUAGCGGGGGAUAACUAUUGGAAACGAUAGCUAAUACCGCAUAACAGUAGAUAUUGCAUGAUAUCUGCUUGAAAGGGGCAAUUGCUCCACUACCAGAUGGACCUGCGUUGUAUUAGCUAGUUGGUGAGGUAACGGCUCACCAAGGCGACGAUACAUAGCCGACCUGAGAGGGUGAUCGGCCACACUGGGACUGAGACACGGCCCAGACUCCUACGGGAGGCAGCAGUAGGGAAUCUUCGGCAAUGGACGGAAGUCUGACCGAGCAACGCCGCGUGAGUGAAGAAGGUUUUCGGAUCGUAAAGCUCUGUUGUAAGAGAAGAACGAGUGUGAGAGUGGAAAGUUCACACUGUGACGGUAACUACCAGAAAGGAC